AGAACGAACGCUGGCGGCGCGUUUAAGCAUGCAAGUCGAGCGGCAAGGGCCUUCGGGCCCCUAGAGCGGCGGACGGGUGAGUAACACGUGGACAAUCUGCCCCCCGGCCCGGGAUAGCCCAGGGAAACCUGGAUUAAUACCGGAUGAGACGGGACCCGCGAUGGCGGGACCCGGGAAAGGCGCUGCGGCGCCGCCGGGGGAUGAGUCUGCGUCCCAUUAGCUAGACGGCGGGGUAACGGCCCACCGUGGCGACGAUGGGUAGCCGGCCUGAGAGGGUGGACGGCCACAUUGGAACUGAGACACGGUCCAGACUCCUACGGGAGGCAGCAGCUAAGAAUCUUCCGCAAUGGGCGAAAGCCUGACGGAGCGACGCCCGCGUGAACAAAGAAGGCCGUGAGGUUGUAAAGUUCUUUUCGGGAGGGGGAACAACCGUGGCAGGGAAUGGCCGCGGGAUGACGUGAAUCCCGGAAUAAGCCCCGGCUAACUACGUGCCAGCAGCCGC
Molecule: ribosomal RNA, 502 nt
Filed under: uncultured bacterium
Lineage: Bacteria
Description: bacterial SSU rRNA
Rfam family: Bacterial small subunit ribosomal RNA
Source: RNAcentral